Molecule: long non-coding RNA, 940 nt
Organism: Brassica oleracea var. oleracea
Lineage: Eukaryota; Viridiplantae; Streptophyta; Magnoliopsida; Brassicales; Brassicaceae
Exons: 4
Source: RefSeq, a predicted model, not a curated record
AUCCUCUGCUCUGAUAAACUGAUGAAGAGUUUCUGGAAAGUUGUGUAAGACGAAUCUUGGUGCCAAUCUCUGGGUCGAGCUAUGUUCGUGUCGGUUUGUCUGCAAUUCAUCUCCUCUGAAAUGUUACGGGAUGCAUUAACCAUUCGCCUUUAACACAGCCUUCUUAACUCCCUCGCCUCAUUCAAUGCCUCUUAGAGGCGGUGGAUCUCCACCUAUAAAAUGGUCAGUUUUCAUCCCAUGAACAUUAGUCUCAAACUUCCUUCUCGCAGUUUGAACAAUCCUGAAGUUUCAAACUUCCAGAUGUAAAAGCAUCAUCUUCUCCUUAUGAGUUUCAGUGGUUUCUUAUGUCUCAGAUAUGCUAUGAACGCUAUUUUGAUUUUUUUUUUCUGUUUUAUGUUGCGUCUGUAUGUGUGAAUUUGCUUCUUAUAUAACAUCAUCGUCUUUUUGACUUAGGGCAGAUCUCAUGAGAUUCUUCUUAUGUGAGUUUCAGUUAUCCUACUGUCACUAAAACUGAAUGCUCAAUUUGUUGCAGGUGUAUCUUUCUCAAACACAUAAGAGACAUUAACCCUAGCAUUUUCUCAAUAUUGCAGAGUACUUGGAGUGGAUUUUGUAACGGAUGAUGUCAAAUGAAGGUCAAAAGGGUUUGCUUAUGUCACAUUCUCUUCUAAAGGAGAAGCUGUGAAAGCUUUAUGAGAGCUAAACGGACAGUUUGUAGACGGGCGGCUUUUGAUUCUUAGCACAACAAGAGUUGUAAACCAUAAUCGACCCUUCUUGCAUAUCAAAGACCCCAACACAAUCCGCAGUCAAUCUGCAGCCCCUGGUCUUGGUUUAGGAUUCAUCGAUGAUGGUAUAGUGGUUAUUGGUCAAGAAUAGGUGUGCUCUCCUGAUCCUUCGAAUUGAGUUUCAGUGUGGAAGAACGAGAAUCAACCAUGGUCUCUCA